RNAcentral lists this transfer RNA (74 nucleotides) under Candidatus Omnitrophota bacterium. RNAcentral describes it as "tRNA-Gly". It matches the Rfam family "tRNA". From Rfam's summary of the family: Transfer RNA (tRNA) molecules are approximately 80 nucleotides in length. Lineage: Bacteria; Pseudomonadati; Candidatus Omnitrophota. The record is from RNAcentral.
GCGGGCGUAGUUCAAUGGCAGAACACUAGCCUUCCAAGCUGGAUAUGUCGGUUCGAUCCCGAUCGCCCGCUCCA